RNAcentral lists this ribosomal RNA (207 nucleotides) under uncultured bacterium. RNAcentral's name for it is "partial 16S ribosomal RNA". It matches the Rfam family "Bacterial small subunit ribosomal RNA", at positions 568 to 774 of the family's 1533-position model. The record is from RNAcentral.
UGCGUGGGUGGUAUGGCAAGUCAGAAGUGAAAACCCAGGGCUUAACUCUGGGACUGCUUUUGAAACUGUCAGACUGGAGUGCAGGAAAGGUAAGCGGAAUUCCUAGUGUAGCGGUGAAAUGCGUAGAUAUUAGGAGGAACAUCAGUGGCGAAGGCGGCUUACUGGACUGAAACUGACACUGAGGCACGAAAGCGUGGGGAGCAAACA